RNAcentral lists this ribosomal RNA (489 nucleotides) under uncultured bacterium. RNAcentral's name for it is "partial 16S ribosomal RNA". It matches the Rfam family "Bacterial small subunit ribosomal RNA", at positions 30 to 506 of the family's 1533-position model. The record is from RNAcentral.
AUUGAACGCUGGCGGCAGGCCUAACACAUGCAAGUCGAACGGUAACAGGAAGCAGCUUGCUGCUUCGCUGACGAGUGGCGGACGGGUGAGUAAUGUCUGGGAAACUGCCUGAUGGAGGGGGAUAACUACUGGAAACGGUAGCUAAUACCGCAUAACGUCGCAAGACCAAAGAGGGGGACCUUAGGGCCUCUUGCCAUCGGAUGUGCCCAGAUGGGAUUAGCUAGUAGGUGGGGUAACGGCUCACCUAGGCGACGAUCCCUAGCUGGUCUGAGAGGAGGACCAGCCACACUGGAACUGAGACACGGUCCAGACGCCUAAGGGAGGCAGCAGGGGGGAAUAUUGCACAAUGGGCGCAAGCCUGAUGCAGCCAUGCCGCGUGUAUGAAGAAGGCCUGCGGGUUGUAAAGUACUUUCAGCGGGGAGGAAGGGAGUAAAGUUAAUACCUUUGCUCAUUGACGUUACCCGCAGAAGAAGCACCGGCGAACUCCGU